AGGUCUAUUUCUUAAAAUAAUAGGAAAUAUAUGUAUAAGGGCCUCUCUGAGUUCUGAAGCUUUCCAAUAAUUUAUGUAUUUAAGAUUUCUUGGUGCUUGAGUUCCGUAAUUUAGAGAGGCAAAAACUCCAAGCAAAACAGAGUGCAGAUAAUCAGGAACAAAAGAACGAGCUGUAUCAAACGCAGGAAUCAAUGCAGUCACGGAUGGACCUUUUACACCUUUUACGUGUUUAACAUUAAGAUUUAUAGCUGCCAGUGCUUGCGACAGCAUUCAUUCUUUCGUUUUUGGUAUAACAUACUGUGUAAACUAGUAUACUCUGUUAAACCAUUUUCCAGUUGCGCAGGUUUCACCCUUAUGCUCGUAAAAUGAGCAACUGCAUUCGCCGUUAUAUUUCAUAAUAUUUUGAGUUGGUGCCCUCGCACACGCGUCUAACGUAGCUAUCGGCGUUAAUACGCGGCUACGUCUAACCUCAUUAUUGCGUUGAUUGAACCAUUCUACAGUAUUUUCAUACAAAUUUUUUAGUGUAUUAACAAAGAACCAUAAAAAUGAACUCAUGUUCGGUUGCUUUUCUGAACUAUAAAAACGCCGGUUACGAAUUGAAAAUUUCUUCGAUUUUCUGGCGGAAUAUUGAUAAUUUGCGAUUUUAAUUGAUUGAUUUUUUCUAUUCUACAAUUAGCCGAUGAAUCAGCGUUAGUUAGAAAAAUGGAUGACGUUCUAAAUGUGAAGAAAGCAACAAGUCAAGAAAAGGCAGACACACGAUAGAGAACGAAUCAGAUUCGAAAGAAAAGAGUGAUAAGGAACCAGCAAUAAAACAGAUAAAGAAGCAAGUAGAUUCCUUGGUGGAAAAAAAUUUAUUUAAACAACUAGGUGUAAACAUUGACCUGCAGAUAAGCUGUAAACUAAAGGUUUCAAAUGUAGAUUUGCAAGAUAAUAAUUUGCCGAGUACAAGUAAAUCCAGUACGCAAACUACUUGCUCAGAAAAUGCAAACAGAUUUGCCUUAAGAACUACUGAAAUAGACGUCCAAUCAAAAAAUGUGUAAGAUGAUAACGAAUUGAACUGGAUAUGCAUAAAAAUCGCUAGCUUAUGAUCUGAUGUAGAAUCAUGUUUCGCUGCGCUUACAAUCGUUGCAGAUGGUUUGGAUUCUUUGACGCUUGCUCUGGAGGAUCACAGAGGUUAAACAAAAAUGCUAAUGGAAGCAGUUGAUAAUCCUACGUGUACUGGAAAAAGACGGUCUCAUAACAUGCCUCUAAUUGAGUCUCUACCAGAGUCUAUAUCACUAGAAGAUAACUUACGUACAUAUCACAGUAUUGAGCCGAUGGAACAAGACAAGAUCAUUAGCGAUACAAAACGAGACUGCAGGUAUAAAAUAUUCGAGUGAGAAUAAAUAUUCUUCAGAGUCAUUGACGGAAGUUCAGAAUUUUGAAGAAGCGAGAAAUGUAAAAGUUGACCCUGUUGAAAAUGAAUUGUCAGAUAACAGCGGGAAAUCUGUCGAAGCAGUAGAGUAAAAUAUAAAGAAGGUGGAAAAUUAUGUAGUUUCGACGUUACAAUAUACAAAAGCUGACGAAUCAAAUGGAGCAAGUAAUUGAACUCGCUGAGGGUUUAAACAUUUUUGUAAAAAGUUAUAGCUUAAAAAAUACCCGAGAUACCUGCGACAAGUUAACGUAUUUAGCCCGAGCUCUAAUAAAAAUCAUUUUUACAAAAGAGACACUCAGUUCAUGCUCUCUUCUUGGAAAAGGGUCAAAUAACUCAAGGAGUUCAGAGAGUAGACAGGGACUCCACGAAUGCCAAGUAAAAGCAAUUCUAGCAUAUGUUUGAGCUCAUGGAAAGUCCCUCAGUUGGAAGCAAAUAGAUGGCCAGAUUAUAAAAAGAAGUAUGACGCAACUAUUAAUUGAAGGAAGGGAUAAAAAUAGAUUUAAAGAAGAAAAAAAAUUGAAAUCAGCUCACAAAGAAGAACGUUAAUUCUUUUAAAUGAAUUAUUGUUUAACUAUUCAUAACUGUUACUAUUUAUUAAUAUUAAUAUAUCAUAAAUAAUAGAAUUGUUUUAAAAAUAUAUGUAAUUAAUUACUUGUCAAGUUUUUACAAAGAUUAUACACAAUUUAUGCAGAAUCAUUUCUUUACAAAAACUUUACAUAAUUAUGUAAUGAUUUUUAUUUGUACAUUGUACAAAAUGUAUAUCAAAUAGUUUCACUCGCGUGUGUGUGUGUGUGCGCGCGCGCGCGCGUGUGUGUAAAACUAAACUAGAAUCAAAAACAGUAGGUUACAAAAACUAUUAGACAACGGUUGGUAACAAUUAAAAGUAAUUUUAGGUUAUCAAUUUUAAUACGAUAUCGCCUUUAAUGUUUACGUGAUAACAACUUCAGGAGUACUAGUAAGCUUUUGAUAUCGUUACUUCUUCCCAAAAAUAAUGCUGAGGUCACUAGGAACUGUAGAAAAAAUGUCUAGGUGUUUGGAAUAGAAACAAAAUUAGUCUUUAUAGUAGUAUGCUAAGUAAUUUUUAAUGCGUAGACAUAAAAUUUGAUGAUAAAUCAUGGAUAGUUUUCACAGGACUCUCGUACACGAUUUUUAGGUAAUCUGCAUACAAAGAAUGCAGUGCGCUUCGUAGUGUACAAAACCUCACCCCGAACAUUAGUAUACCAUGCCUAGGCGUUGAAAAAUCUCAGUAGACUUUUCAUAUUAUAUUUGUAAAAAAUACGUUUUAAA
RNAcentral lists this long non-coding RNA (2701 nucleotides) under Nasonia vitripennis (jewel wasp). RNAcentral describes it as "uncharacterized LOC116417359, transcript variant X1". The record is from RNAcentral. Lineage: Eukaryota; Metazoa; Arthropoda; Insecta; Hymenoptera; Pteromalidae.